GAUGAGCGCUGGCGGCGUGCCUAAUACAUGCAAGUCGAGCGAACGGACGAGAAGCUUGCUUCUCUGAUGUUAGCGGCGGACGGGUGAGUAACACGUGGAUAACCUACCUAUAAGACUGGGAUAACUUCGGCAAACCGGAGCUAAUACCGGAUAAUAUUUUGAACCGCAUGGUUCAAAAGUGAAAGACGGUCUUGCUGUCACUUAUAGAUGGAUCCGCGCUGCAUUAGCUAGUUGGUAAGGUAACGGCUUACCAAGGCAACGAUGCAUAGCCGACCUGAGAGGGUGAUCGGCCACACUGGAACUGAGACACGGUCCAGACUCCUACGGGAGGCAGCAGUAGGGAAUCUUCCGCAAUGGGCGAAAGCCUGACGGAGCAACGCCGCGUGAGUGAUGAAGGUCUUCGGAUCGUAAAACUCUGUUAUUAGGGAAGAACAUAUGUGUAAGUAACUGUGCACAUCUUGACGGUACCUAAUCAGAAAGCCACGGCUAACUACGUG
This 497-nucleotide ribosomal RNA is filed under the name uncultured bacterium. RNAcentral describes it as "partial 16S ribosomal RNA". It matches the Rfam family "Bacterial small subunit ribosomal RNA", at positions 28 to 507 of the family's 1533-position model. The record is from RNAcentral.